RNAcentral lists this small RNA (29 nucleotides) under Bombyx mori (domestic silkworm). Its description in RNAcentral is "ovarian small RNA-23257". Lineage: Eukaryota; Metazoa; Arthropoda; Insecta; Lepidoptera; Bombycidae. The record is from RNAcentral.
UAUAACAAUUUCAUGCAAAAACGGUGAGC